AUGUGAAUUUCCUGGGGAUCUUGUUAAGAUGCAGAUUCUGGUCCUGUAAGCCUGGCAUGGGGCCUGGGAGUCUGCAUUUCUGACAAGCUUCUGGAUGGUGACGCA
Molecule: microRNA precursor, 105 nt
Filed under: Marmota monax (woodchuck)
Lineage: Eukaryota; Metazoa; Chordata; Mammalia; Rodentia; Sciuridae
Source: RNAcentral